This is a non-coding RNA of Drosophila virilis, 2582 nucleotides long. NCBI's taxonomy places the organism in Eukaryota, Metazoa, Arthropoda, Insecta, Diptera, Drosophilidae. The record is from RefSeq and is a predicted model, not a curated record.
AGACGUUGGCUCCAUAUAUAGGAUGGCGGCUUUAAUGGAGGAGGCGGCUGCUCUAACUAUAGAGGAUACGGAGGGUUCAGCAAUAGAGGAGGCGGCAACUGUAAUAUUAGUGGAGGUGACGGCUGCAACUAUGAAUUAGCUGGCAGCAUAAGAAAAGGCGAAGACGGUGGUCUAAGAAGAAAGCUAUGGCUUUGGCGGAGGAGGCGGCAUUAAUGUUAAAUGUGGCGAUUCAAAAAAGUGUGUGUUUAUAAGAAAUGUCCUCCUUUGCCUACUGAUAGAUGAGGGUAAUACAAUGGAGCAGACCUAGCUGCACUGCAAAUUAAAAAAAAACGUAUUCUAAGUAGGUCCCCUCUACUCGAUUCUCAUAAACUCAAGUAAGCCUCAUAGGCUAUAGUAGAGGAGGCGGCUUCAACUAUGCAGGAGGAGGCGGCUUCAACUAUGCAGGAGGAAGCGGCUUGAACUAUGCAGGAGGAAGCGGCUUGAACUGUGCAGGAGACGGUGAUUUCAACUAUGCAGGAGGAUGCGGCUUCAACUAUGCAGGAGGAGGCGGCUUCAACUAUGCAGGAGGAAACGGCUUGAACUAUGCAGGAGGAAGCGGCUUGAACUGUGCAGGAGACGGUGAUUUCAACUAUGCAGGAGGAUGCGGCUUCAACUAUGCAGGAGGAGGCGGCUUCAACUAUGCAGGAGGAAACGGCUUGAACUAUGCAGGAGGAAGCGGCUUGAACUGUGCAGGAGACGGUGAUUUCAACUAUGCAGGAGGAUGCGGCUUCAACUGUGCAGGAGACGGUGAUUUCAACUAUGCAGGAGGAAGCGGCUUGAACUGUGCAGGAGACGGUGAUUUCAACUAUGCAGGAGACGGUGAUUUCUAUAGAGGAGACGGGAACUUCAGCGAUGGAGGAUGCGGCGACUUUAAUAUUGAAGGAAACGGCGGCUUUAAAUAUAGAGGAUACUGCAACUUCAACAAAAGAGGAGACGCGAGCUUAAGUAUUUAAGGAGACGUUGGCUCCAUAUAUAGGAUGGCGGCUUUAAUGGAGGAGGCGGCUGCUCUAACUAUAGAGGAUACGGAGGGUUCAGCAAUAGAGGAGGCGGCAACUGUAAUAUUAGUGGAGGUGACGGCUGCAACUAUGAAUUAGCUGGCAGCAUAAGAAAAGGCGAAGACGGUGGUCUAAGAAGAAAGCUAUGGCUUUGGCGGAGGAGGCGGCAUUAAUGUUAAAUGUGGCGAUUCAAAAAAGUGUGUGUUUAUAAGAAAUGUCCUCCUUUGCCUACUGAUAGAUGAGGGUAAUACAAUGGAGCAGACCUAGCUGCACUGCAAAUUAAAAAAAAACGUAUUCUAAGUAGGUCCCCUCUACUCGAUUCUCAUAAACUCAAGUAAGCCUCAUAGGCUAUAGUAGAGGAGGCGGCUUCAACUAUGCAGGAGGAGGCGGCUUCAACUAUGCAGGAGGCGGCGACUUUAACUAUGCAGGAGGCGGCGACUUCAACUAUGCUGGAGUAGGCGGCUUCAACUAUGCAGGAGGAAGCGGCUUGAACUAUGCAGGAGGAAGCGGCUUGAGCUGUGCAGGAGACGGUGAUUUCAACUAUGCAGGAGGAUGCGGCUUCAACUAUGCAGGAGGAGGCGGCUUCAACUAUGCAGGAGGAAACGGCUUGAACUAUGCAGGAGGAAGCGGCUUGAACUGUGCAGGAGACGGUGAUUUCAACUAUGCAGGAGGAUGCGGCUUCAACUAUGCAGGAGACGGUGAUUUCUAUAGGGGAGACGGGAACUUCAGCGAUGGGGGAUGCGGCGACUAUAAUAUUGAAGGAAACGGCGGCUUUAAAUAUAGAGGAUACUGCAACUUCAACAAAAGAGGAGACGCGAGCUUAAGUAUUUAAGGAGACGUUGGCUCCAUAUAUAGGAUGGCGGCUUUAAUGGAGGAGGCGGCUGCUCUAACUAUAGAGGAUACGGAGGGUUCAGCAAUAGAGGAGGCGGCAACUGUAAUAUUAGUGGAGGUGACGGCUGCAACUAUGAAUUAGCUGGCAGCAUAAGAAAAGGCGAAGACGGUGGUCUAAGAAGAAAGCUAUGGCUUUGGCGGAGGAGGCGGCAUUAAUGUUAAAUGUGGCGAUUCAAAAAAGUGUGUGUUUAUAAGAAAUGUCGUCCUUUGCCUACUGAUAGAUGAAGGUAAUACAAUGGAGCAGGUAAGUACGUAAUUAAAAAUAUAUUUUUAUAUCUAUAUAUCUGUUUGAUGGGUUAUCAAUGCAUAUUCCAAAAGCUAAGACUAGGCUGUGGAAAAUUCCUUUUGCAAUUAAUUUAAUAUAAGCUUAUAUAUAAAUGGUAAUUUCACAGGAGAAGAUGUGGAUUUUAUGAUGCUUUAAAUUUUUUUAGAUUGCAAUAAUAUUGUUUUUAGAUUUGAUAAUAAUUGCCAGAUUUAGACGCCAAAAUGAUCUAAAGGCCAAGCCAUGAACAAAGAGCCAAACUUUAUGAAAAUAGGAUGAGAUUUGAUCAAGUUAUAGGGGUGGGAAAUUCAGACGCAUUUCUAUGAGAGAUAUUUGAGCGUGCCAUUUGACAUGAAUUUUAAUCAGAAAUAAUGUUGCCAGACAGAGGCCAAACU